Long non-coding RNA from Ipomoea triloba (trilobed morning glory), 837 nucleotides. RefSeq lists it as uncharacterized. Lineage: Eukaryota; Viridiplantae; Streptophyta; Magnoliopsida; Solanales; Convolvulaceae. The transcript has 2 exons. The record is from RefSeq and is a predicted model, not a curated record.
GUCAACUGUAUUAAAAUAAUCAUUGGAAACACCAUCAUAAAUGUGAUAGUACCCAUAAUCACCUUGUCUUUAUCCUUAAUUUCAACACCCAUUUUCGUAAACUUCAUAAAUUACAAUGUUGUUAGCAUCUGUCAGCCAAAACUGCCCUAGUCUUGGGAUGAUUUGGUACAAAUCUGCACUUCUAAUUACAUUGAUCUGUUGCUAUGUUUUUGACAGCUAAAGUGAAGAAACCAAGUUGCCAUUUUUGAGGUUACGAGGAAAACUUGCAGACAUUACCUGAAAAUAAGCACCGGGUAAACCUCCCCAUCCUAGCUGUCAAACGACCAGAAAGAGGCUACAGAUUUGAAGGGGAAAGGGCAAGCUUGAUGCCCUUCAAUUCAAUCAAUCAAGUUGAUAAUUGGGUAAGAAUCUUGAGCAAAGAUGAUAUUACAAGAUAUGGGUGUUUGAAGCAAUUUGAUGAUUAGAUUAGAUUGAUUGGGAACAGUAGAAAGAUCCGAGAUAUAUAUGGAAACUAAAGGAGCAGCAGAAGCAAACGUUGGCACUGGAACACCAUACGAUUGGGAGCUAUAUAGUAUCAGCAAGUUGGGAUUAGAGUACCCCCCCUAACUAGCUACCUAUCCUAUCUGGUCCUAUAAUGUAAUGUCCGCCGACAAUUCACAAGUAGAGUCAUAUGAUUCUGGAAUACGUUGGACCAACUUUGCCAAAAGAUGACCCAAAAGGCUCCCUUUAGGGGUCCCUCUUUGGUGGUGGCUCUUUCAUGGCAAAUCUGGCAAUGCUACAGCCUUCUUCCCAAUCUUGCAUUCUUGCUUCUUCUUAAUUCUUAGUCUUAAGUCUUAA